RNAcentral lists this ribosomal RNA (550 nucleotides) under uncultured bacterium. RNAcentral describes it as "bacterial SSU rRNA". It matches the Rfam family "Bacterial small subunit ribosomal RNA", at positions 355 to 896 of the family's 1533-position model. The record is from RNAcentral.
UAGGGAAUCUUCGGCAAUGGACGGAAGUCUGACCGAGCAACGCCGCGUGAGUGAAGAAGGUUUUCGGAUCGUAAAGCUCUGUUGUAAGAGAAGAACGAGUGUGAGAGUGGAAAGUUCACACUGUGACGGUAUCUUACCAGAAAGGGACGGCUAACUACGUGCCAGCAGCCGCGGUAAUACGUAGGUCCCGAGCGUUGUCCGGAUUUAUUGGGCGUAAAGCGAGCGCAGGCGGUUAGAUAAGUCUGAAGUUAAAGGCUGUGGCUUACCCAUAGUAGGCUUUGGAAACUGUUUAACUUGAGUGCAAGAGGGGAGAGUGGAAUUCCAUGUGUAGCGGUGAAAUGCGUAGAUAUAUGGAGGAACACCGGUGGCGAAAGCGGCUCUCUGGCUUGUAACUGACGCUGAGGCUCGAAAGCGUGGGGAGCAAACAGGAUUAGAUACCCUGGUAGUCCACGCUGUAAACGAUGAGUGCUAGGUGUUAGACCCUUUCCGGGGUUUAGUGCCGUAGCUAACGCAUUAAGCACUCCGCCUGGGGAGUACGACCGCAAGGUUG